Molecule: ribosomal RNA, 194 nt
Filed under: Melanoides tuberculata
Lineage: Eukaryota; Metazoa; Mollusca; Gastropoda; Thiaridae
Description: partial 12S ribosomal RNA
Source: RNAcentral
CGAUAGUCCCGCUAUACCUUUCCUUUAUUUGCAAAAUCAGUAUGUAUACCGUCGUCGUCAGGUAACUUUUAAGAAUCAAGAAGUUAGCUAAAGAAUUAUUUAUAAAUUUUAACGUCAGAUCAAGGUGCAGCUUAUAAAAAGGAGAGAAUGGGUUCAAUUAAGAAUUAUAAGUAUGGAGAAAAAUUUGAAAAUUU